GCUGUCGGUUCUCCUAGGCCGACAGGGAACGCAAGGGUGGCUAGCGCACAGAGCGGCUCUGCGGACUGUUGGAAGAUAAAGACGGAAGGAGAGGGGCAGGCUCGGUGGCCUCCCCGGGUUACCCGCAAGGCGAGGCCAGAGAGCCUGGGGAGGCCGUCACCCCGUCAGGGCCGGGCUGCUCCAACAUCUCCAGGGGUCGGGUCCUCCCCCGGGGGCGCGACCUGCGAGCCCCGGACGUCCCUGCCCAGGUCCUGGUACUUACCCCCGCGGUCUCCUCAGCCGAACAUUCCAGCAAACUCCGGUCGAUGGCCUGCACCUCGGGCUCCAGCUCCGACGCCAUCUUCCUUCCUCCUCCCCAGCGCUGACGCUGCUACCGCCGCCCCGAGGGCCGCGGCCUCGCCACAGCCGCGGCCGCCGAGACCGCCACCCGUGCCUCAGGCAGUCGGUCCGGAGUUAUCCAGGCGGCCGCGGGUGGGGAAGGAGGACAGGAGCGUGAGACCAUGCGGCAAUCAAUAACUGUAAAAAUAUCAUGAUGCACAUGUGUGAGUCUAUCUGUGGGACAGAUACAUUCUCAAAGCUGGAAUUUCUCGAUUACAGGAUGUCGCUGGAAGAACAAAAGCCUCUGCCUGGUUCCAGGGGGAAUUCCUCUGGGGUUAGAGAUAGAGCCACACGGUAUCAUACAGGACGCCUGAGGUUUUUUGUGGUUGACAACUCAUAACCCUUUCAGUAAAAAAAAGAAAAAAAAAAAAAAAAA
Canis lupus familiaris (dog) is the source of this 754-nucleotide long non-coding RNA. RefSeq lists it as uncharacterized. Lineage: Eukaryota; Metazoa; Chordata; Mammalia; Carnivora; Canidae. The record is from RefSeq and is a predicted model, not a curated record. The transcript has 3 exons.